CUCCCGCCCCGGGGCUCCUGCCCGGACGGCGGCCGCCGCCGCCUCGUCUUCCCCGAGGGCUCCGCGUCCGUCUCCGCAGCUCGGCCGGGAACCUGGGAACUCGGACGCAGAAGGACGCGCCCGAGCCAGGACCCGCCGCGGGGUCCCUCUGGUGGGCCGUGGCCGGGGAGAGGACGCGGGCCCUGGCGGUCGAAGACGGACGCAGCGCCCGGAAAGGCGAGCCAGGUCUCCGGCUCCUGGCGCUUCCUGUGAGCUGGCUCGGCGGGGUGCGUCGCCGGGGAGGGAGGGACUGGCCGUGGGGCGAGCAGCCGGGCGGGGAGUGGCUUCUGGGGGCCUUCGCCAGCGGAGGGCCCGCGAGGCCGCCCUCGGAGCGCCGCCAGGUACGUGGCUGUGACAAUGGCAUCCCCAGCCUGCAUGGAGGACAGGAAUUGAACUUUAGUCUCCAGGCAAUGAAGGUGCAGGGACUACACUUUAUUAAUGGUUGUUAUGUAAUAAAAAACGAUAAAAUGGC
This 511-nucleotide long non-coding RNA is filed under the name Homo sapiens (human). Its description in RNAcentral is "regulator of early neurogenesis 1, transcript variant 2 (RENO1)". Lineage: Eukaryota; Metazoa; Chordata; Mammalia; Primates; Hominidae. The record is from RNAcentral.